GGCCCACCAAGGCGACGAUCAGUAGGGGUUCUGAGAGGAAGGUCCCCCACAUUGGAACUGAGACACGGUCCAAACUCCUACGGGAGGCAGCAGUGAGGAAUAUUGGUCAAUGGACGAGAGUCUGAACCAGCCAAGUAGCGUGCAGGAUGACGGCCCUAUGGGUUGUAAACUGCUUUUAUAAGGGAAUAAAGUGAGUCUCGUGAGACUUUUUGCAUGUACCUUAUGAAUAAGGACCGGCUAAUUCCGUGCCAGCAGCCGCGGUAAUACGGAAGGUCCGGGCGUUAUCCGGAUUUAUUGGGUUUAAAGGGAGCGUAGGCCGGAGAUUAAGCGUGUUGUGAAAUGUAGAUGCUCAACAUCUGCACUGCAGCGCGAACUGGUUUCCUUGA
RNAcentral lists this ribosomal RNA (386 nucleotides) under uncultured bacterium. RNAcentral describes it as "bacterial SSU rRNA". It matches the Rfam family "Bacterial small subunit ribosomal RNA", at positions 262 to 645 of the family's 1533-position model. The record is from RNAcentral.